This is a long non-coding RNA of Hypanus sabinus (Atlantic stingray), 1087 nucleotides long. RefSeq lists it as uncharacterized. The record is from RefSeq and is a predicted model, not a curated record. The transcript is spliced from 3 exons. Lineage: Eukaryota; Metazoa; Chordata; Chondrichthyes; Myliobatiformes; Dasyatidae.
GGAAGAAGGAGGAAUUUGACAGGAGAGUGAUCAUGGCGGAGAAAGAAAAAGGAGGAGCACCAGAGGGAGGACCAUAAAACUGCAUAUUAGUUCCUAACGUAUAUCAACAGAGUUCAUCUGCUGUGUUCAUUUGAUUAAUGAUCAUAUACAGAGUGCAUUGAAGGAAAGUGACUGGGCUGUUGAAGGUCUUCACGUACCUCACUGACAGAAAAUAGAUGGUCCAUUGUAUUGUUCUGUGUUCCUGGAUGCCUCAAGUCACUCACACUGCAUGCCUUAAGCAUUAGUCACAACAUGGACAAGAAAAGGGUCUGGCUACUAAUGACUGAAAGACAUGGCCCCAAAUUUUUCAGACAUCACUACUCAAACACCUGCUUUGCUGGAAUUAAGGUCGUUAAGAUAAAUAACCCUCUACUCUUCUCAGUUCAGCUGUUCAUUGGUGACUGUCCCAUGAUUUUUGUGGUAUUACAUCAUAAUUUUUCUAGUUGUAUUUAUUAAGGACAACCAUACUGCAAGAUAAAAUCCUUUUCACUUCAGUUUUUUCUUAUGGUCCAAUUGGCCAGUCACUAACUAUUGAAUAAAACAAAGCUGUUUAUUACAUGUCCUCUUGACAGCACAUGUUGCAAUUUCACUUGGAAUGAGGUUUCCAUUUUUCAUUGGGUUUCACGCCUUAGAUAUGACUUAGUACAUCGAGACUAUUUAACAAACCAUUUUAAUGAACUAAAAUUAAAGUAACAAACAGAAACCAGACAAUGCUGGGAACAAAUUAACUCAUGUUGCAUAUAUUUGCUCAGUAUUCAACAGUUACUAAAAUGGGACCAACUUUUCUGCUUGGCAGUGCUGGCUGUGGGUGACAGCCAUAUUAUCUACAUUGCAUAAAUACAACCUUAAGUUUCUCUUAGAAACUCAGUUAGAAUCCGAUGAGCACUAUAUUGGUUUGCUAUAGGCUGCUGUAGGCAUGUUCUUGCCAACAACAUCCAUGGACUCAGGGAUUUGGGCUAUAUUAUAUUUGUGUGUGUGUGACUAUAUUUUUACUGCUAUCUGCAUGCGUCUUGUGCUGUGCAUGACUGGUGGUAACGUGUUUUGCAUC